AUUAAAAUAUUAAAUAACGAAUAUCUUAUAUCUUACGCGUGUUACGAGCUAUAGAUGUAAACAUUAGUUUUUGUUCAUUUUGAAUAUCCUAUCUAGAUCGAUGAAAGUCACGUGGUUACGUUGGAAGACAAACAACCAAUCAGAAUGGAGCUACUUUGAUCCUGCCUUCAUUUACGCAGCAGACGGCGGCCGUAAUGGAUCUCCCGUAAGUGAUCUUUAGAUUUUUAACAUUUUUAAUACUCUUUUCGUUUAUUUAUCGAAUUCCGUUUAACAAAUUAUAUAAUAAAUUAUAGCAGAUAUCAUAUGGUAUAUAAUGCGAACUUAAUUUCUAUAAUAUUUAUCGAUUAUUGAUGAUUAUUUUAUCAUAUUCUUCUUAACGACGAAACAUAUUAAUAUACUAUAUAUAUAUGACUCGAUUUUUAUUACAUUCCUACUUAUUUAUAAUAAAUUAAUAUUAUACGUAAAUGAUGGAUUAUUUACAUGAAAAAUAUAAAGGAAUUAUGGAUCUCCAUAAGCAGGAAUCAUCUACAGGGUAAGACUUGGGCAAUCGAUAUUACUUACGACAUAAUAUAUAAUAAUGUAAUCGUAAUACAAUGCGAAUACUGUCGAAUUAUUGACUAUAUUUUCGAUUCAUUGUGUUUAUUAAUUACGUAGUAUUGAAUAUCAAAAUUUACUUCGUAUAAUCAUAGAAUUAGUGAAUACUAUGUCAGCGAGCAUCGAUCAACAGCGAUAUUGGAUCACGCAUCGUUAAUGGAGGCGUUGAUUUAUAUUUUGAAAUCACUAUGGCGUACGAUUUUAUUGACUAGCAUUAGUAGAAUACAGUACAGUACUACGCAUAUCUUAAAGGAAUAUUAAAUAAUUGAAGGCAUCGUUUAUUCUAAUAUGCGAGUGAAAUAAGAGAGUUACAAUGUUUACAUCAAUGAUUGAUUGAUCGCUUAUCAAGGUCGUUCAUAUGUUUUCUUUUUCGUUAUAUUGUUUGCGUCACUGGCAGGUACGCGAUAACGAGAAUAAACUACAUGAGUAAACUACAAGAAUAUACUAAACAUGAGUUAUUAGUUUUAUAAUAUUUAAAUAAUUGUACAAUUGUUAAUAUAUUAAUAUAAUAUAUAUAUAUAAUAUAAUAUAAUAUAUUAAUUACACUCCAUAUGCAUUUUACAUUGUUAAAAUAAACAUAUGAAUAGUAAUUAAAAGAAUCUCCAUUUCUUCUUCAUUAUCGAUUUCAUAACAAAAUUUCAUAAUUAGUUCACUUAAUUAUGAGUUUUGUAAAAUCAAUAACAGAAUCAAUAAGAACGAAAAUGAAAUCAACAAGAAGAAUACUCACAAA
Molecule: long non-coding RNA, 1324 nt
Organism: Vespula pensylvanica (western yellowjacket)
Lineage: Eukaryota; Metazoa; Arthropoda; Insecta; Hymenoptera; Vespidae
Exons: 2
Source: RefSeq, a predicted model, not a curated record